CCUACGGGAGGCAGCAGUGAGGAAUAUUGGUCAAUGGCCGCAAGGCUGAACCAGCCAAGCCGCGUGAGGGAUGACGGUCCUAUGGAUUGUAAACCUCUUUUGUCAGGGGGCAAAGUGCGCCACGUGUGCCUCUCCGCGAGUACCUGAAGAACAAGCAUCGGCUAACUCCGUGCCAGCAGCCGCGGUAAUACGGAGGAUGCGAGCGUUAUCCGGAUUUAUUGGGUUUAAAGGGUGCGCAGGCGGAAUGUCAAGUCAGCGGUAAAAUCUCGGGGCUCAACCCCGGCGUGCCGUUGAAACUGGCGGUCUUGAGUGAGCGAGAGGUAGGCGGAAUGCGUGGUGUAGCGGUGAAAUGCAUAGA
This 358-nucleotide ribosomal RNA is filed under the name uncultured bacterium. RNAcentral's name for it is "partial 16S ribosomal RNA". It matches the Rfam family "Bacterial small subunit ribosomal RNA", at positions 338 to 694 of the family's 1533-position model. The record is from RNAcentral.